RNAcentral lists this ribosomal RNA (2670 nucleotides) under human gut metagenome. RNAcentral describes it as "bacterial LSU rRNA". It matches the Rfam family "Bacterial large subunit ribosomal RNA". The record is from RNAcentral.
UUAAGCGACUAAGCGUACACGGUGGAUGCCCUGGCAGUCAGAGGCGAUGAAGGACGUGCUAAUCUGCGAUAAGCGUCGGUGAGGUGAUAUGAACCGUUAUAACCGGCGAUUUCCGAAUGGGGAAACCCAGUGUGUUUCGACACACUAUCAUUAACUGAAUCCAUAGGUUAAUGAGGCGAACCGGGGGAACUGAAACAUCUAAGUACCCCGAGGAAAAGAAAUCAACCGAGAUUCCCCCAGUAGCGGCGAGCGAACGGGGAGGAGCCCAGAGCCUGAAUCAGUGUGUGUGUUAGUGGAAGCGUCUGGAAAGGCGUGCGAUACAGGGUGACAGCCCCGUACACAAAAAUGCACAUAUUGUGAGCUCGAUGAGUAGGGCGGGACACGUGGUAUCCUGUCUGAAUAUGGGGGGACCAUCCUCCAAGGCUAAAUACUCCUGACUGACCGAUAGUGAACCAGUACCGUGAGGGAAAGGCGAAAAGAACCCCGGCGAGGGGAGUGAAAAAGAACCUGAAACCGUGUACGUACAAGCAGUGGGAGCCUCUUAAUGGGGUGACUGCGUACCUUUUGUAUAAUGGGUCAGCGACUUAUAUUCUGUAGCAAGGUUAACCGAAUAGGGGAGCCGAAGGGAAACCGAGUCUUAACUGGGCGUUAAGUUGCAGGGUAUAGACCCGAAACCCGGUGAUCUAGCCAUGGGCAGGUUGAAGGUUGGGUAACACUAACUGGAGGACCGAACCGACUAAUGUUGAAAAAUUAGCGGAUGACUUGUGGCUGGGGGUGAAAGGCCAAUCAAACCGGGAGAUAGCUGGUUCUCCCCGAAAGCUAUUUAGGUAGCGCCUCGUGAAUUCAUCUCCGGGGGUAGAGCACUGUUUCGGCAAGGGGGUCAUCCCGACUUACCAACCCGAUGCAAACUGCGAAUACCGGAGAAUGUUAUCACGGGAGACACACGGCGGGUGCUAACGUCCGUCGUGAAGAGGGAAACAACCCAGACCGCCAGCUAAGGUCCCAAAGUCAUGGUUAAGUGGGAAACGAUGUGGGAAGGCCCAGACAGCCAGGAUGUUGGCUUAGAAGCAGCCAUCAUUUAAAGAAAGCGUAAUAGCUCACUGGUCGAGUCGGCCUGCGCGGAAGAUGUAACGGGGCUAAACCAUGCACCGAAGCUGCGGCAGCGACACUAUGUGUUGUUGGGUAGGGGAGCGUUCUGUAAGCCUGUGAAGGUGGCCUGUGAGGGUUGCUGGAGGUAUCAGAAGUGCGAAUGCUGACAUAAGUAACGAUAAAGCGGGUGAAAAGCCCGCUCGCCGGAAGACCAAGGGUUCCUGUCCAACGUUAAUCGGGGCAGGGUGAGUCGACCCCUAAGGCGAGGCCGAAAGGCGUAGUCGAUGGGAAACAGGUUAAUAUUCCUGUACUUGGUGUUACUGCGAAGGGGGGACGGAGAAGGCUAUGUUGGCCGGGCGACGGUUGUCCCGGUUUAAGCGUGUAGGCUGGUUUUCCAGGCAAAUCCGGAAAACCAAGGCUGAGGCGUGAUGACGAGGCACUACGGUGCUGAAGCGACAAAUGCCCUGCUUCCAGGAAAAGCCUCUAAGCAUCAGGUAACAUCAAAUCGUACCCCAAACCGACACAGGUGGUCAGGUAGAGAAUACCAAGGCGCUUGAGAGAACUCGGGUGAAGGAACUAGGCAAAAUGGUGCCGUAACUUCGGGAGAAGGCACGCUGAUAUGUAGGUGAAGCGACUUGCUCGUGGAGCUGAAAUCAGUCGAAGAUACCAGCUGGCUGCAACUGUUUAUUAAAAACACAGCACUGUGCAAACACGAAAGUGGACGUAUACGGUGUGACGCCUGCCCGGUGCCGGAAGGUUAAUUGAUGGGGUUAGCGGUAACGCGAAGCUCUUGAUCGAAGCCCCGGUAAACGGCGGCCGUAACUAUAACGGUCCUAAGGUAGCGAAAUUCCUUGUCGGGUAAGUUCCGACCUGCACGAAUGGCGUAAUGAUGGCCAGGCUGUCUCCACCCGAGACUCAGUGAAAUUGAACUCGCUGUGAAGAUGCAGUGUACCCGCGGCAAGACGGAAAGACCCCGUGAACCUUUACUAUAGCUUGACACUGAACAUUGAGCCUUGAUGUGUAGGAUAGGUGGGAGGCUUUGAAGUGUGGACGCCAGUCUGCAUGGAGCCGACCUUGAAAUACCACCCUUUAAUGUUUGAUGUUCUAACGUUGGCCCGUAAUCCGGGUUGCGGACAGUGUCUGGUGGGUAGUUUGACUGGGGCGGUCUCCUCCUAAAGAGUAACGGAGGAGCACGAAGGUUGGCUAAUCCUGGUCGGACAUCAGGAGGUUAGUGCAAUGGCAUAAGCCAGCUUGACUGCGAGCGUGACGGCGCGAGCAGGUGCGAAAGCAGGUCAUAGUGAUCCGGUGGUUCUGAAUGGAAGGGCCAUCGCUCAACGGAUAAAAGGUACUCCGGGGAUAACAGGCUGAUACCGCCCAAGAGUUCAUAUCGACGGCGGUGUUUGGCACCUCGAUGUCGGCUCAUCACAUCCUGGGGCUGAAGUAGGUCCCAAGGGUAUGGCUGUUCGCCAUUUAAAGUGGUACGCGAGCUGGGUUUAGAACGUCGUGAGACAGUUCGGUCCCUAUCUGCCGUGGGCGCUGGAGAACUGAGGGGGGCUGCUCCUAGUACGAGAGGACCGGAGU